Molecule: ribosomal RNA, 465 nt
Filed under: uncultured bacterium
Lineage: Bacteria
Description: partial 16S ribosomal RNA
Rfam family: Bacterial small subunit ribosomal RNA
Source: RNAcentral
AUGCACGCUGGCGGCGUGCUUAACCCCUGCAAGUCGCACGCUGAAGCCCAGCUUGCUGGGUGGAUUAGUGGCGAACGGGUGAGUAACACGUGAGUAACCUGCCCUUAACCCUGGGAUAAGCCUGGGAAACUGGGUCUAAUACCGGAUAGGAGCGCCUACCGCAUGGUGGGUGUUGGAAAGAUUUAUCGGUUUUGGAUGGACUCGCGGCCUAUCAGCUUGUUGGUGAGGUAAUGGCUCACCAAGGCGACGACGGGUAGCCGGCCUGAGAGGGUGACCGGCCACACUGGGACUGAGACACGGCCCAGACUCCUACGGGAGGCAGCAGUGGGGAAUAUUGCACAAUGGGCGAAAGCCUGAUGCAGCGACGCCGCGUGAGGGAUGACGGCCUUCGGGUUGUAAACCUCUUUCAGUAGGGAAGAAGCGAAAGUGACGGUACCUGCAGAAGAAGCACCGGCUAACUACGUG